This 425-nucleotide ribosomal RNA is filed under the name uncultured bacterium. RNAcentral describes it as "partial 16S ribosomal RNA". It matches the Rfam family "Bacterial small subunit ribosomal RNA", at positions 354 to 796 of the family's 1533-position model. The record is from RNAcentral.
GUGGGGAAUAUUGGACAAUGGGCGAAAGCCUGAUCCAGCCAUGCCGCGUGAGUGAUGAAGGCCUUAGGGUUGUAAAGCUCUUUCAGUAGGGAAGAUAAUGACGGUACCUACAGAAGAAGCCCCGGCUAACUUCGUUCCAGCAGCCGCGGUAAUACGAAGGGGGCUAGCGCUGUUCGGAAUUACUGGGCGUAAAGCGCACGUAGGCGGACAUUUAAGUCAGGGGUGAAAUCCAGGGGCUCAACCCCGGAACUGCCUUUGAUACUGGGUGUAUGGAGUAUGGAAGAGGUAAGUGGAAUUCCGAGUGUAGAGGUGAAAGUCGUAGAUAUUCGGAGGAACACCAGUGGCGAAGGCGGCUUACUGGUCCAUUACUGACGCUGAGGUGCGAAAGCGUGGGGAGCAAACAGGAUUAGAAGCCCUGGUAGUCC